Molecule: ribosomal RNA, 253 nt
Filed under: uncultured bacterium
Lineage: Bacteria
Description: partial 16S ribosomal RNA
Rfam family: Bacterial small subunit ribosomal RNA
Source: RNAcentral
UACGUAGGGGGCAAGCGUUGUCCGGAAUCAUUGGGCGUAAAGAGCGUGUAGGCGGCCCGAUAAGUCCGCCGUGAAAGUCCAGGGCUCAACCCUGGAAUGCCGGUGGAUACUGUCGGGCUAGAGUCCGGAAGGGGCGAGUGGAAUUCCUGGUGUAGCGGUGAAAUGCGCAGAUAUCAGGAGGAACACCGAUGGCGAAGGCAGCUCGCUGGGACGGUACUGACGCUGAGGUGCGAAAGCGUGGGGAGCAAACAGG